CCUACGGGAGGCAGCAGUGAGGAAUAUUGGUCAAUGGACGAGAGUCUGAACCAGCCAAGUAGCGUGAAGGAUGACUGCCCUAUGGGUUGUAAACUUCUUUUAUAUGGGAAUAAAAUGUUCCACGUGUGGGAUUUUGUAUGUACCAUAUGAAUAAGGAUCGGCUAACUCCGUGCCAGCAGCCGCGGUAAUACGGAGGAUCCGAGCGUUAUCCGGAUUUAUUGGGUUUAAAGGGAGCGUAGGUGGAUUGUUAAGUCAGUUGUGAAAGUUUGCGGCUCAACCGUAAAAUUGCAGUUGAAACUGGCAGUCUGGAGUACAGUAGAGGUGGGCGGAAUUCGUAGUGUAGCGGUGAAAUGCUUAGAUAUCACGAAGAACUCCGAUUGCGAAGGCAGCUCACUGGACUGCAACUGACACUGAGGCUCGAAAGUGUGGGUAUCAAACAGGAUUAGAUACCCCAGUAGUC
RNAcentral lists this ribosomal RNA (460 nucleotides) under uncultured bacterium. RNAcentral's name for it is "partial 16S ribosomal RNA". It matches the Rfam family "Bacterial small subunit ribosomal RNA", at positions 338 to 795 of the family's 1533-position model. The record is from RNAcentral.